AAGAUUCUAUUUUGAGGAAACACUUCUAUAUUUCUCUGCUAGAGAAGGUUCUCCAAACCUGUAAGGAGCUGAAAAUCACAAGGAGGAGGCACAGUGUUCUCUCUGAGGGUGGACCAGACUAUUGGUGAUGUGUCCCUGCAACUGCCACUCACCACUGAUGGUUACUCUUUCUUUGGGGAGAGGGAAAGGAUAUGCUCUGAGUAG
This 204-nucleotide small nucleolar RNA is filed under the name Choloepus hoffmanni (Hoffmann's two-fingered sloth). RNAcentral's name for it is "Small nucleolar RNA U3 (ENSCHOG00000014777.1)". It matches the Rfam family "Small nucleolar RNA U3". From Rfam's summary of the family: Small nucleolar RNAs (snoRNAs) are involved in the processing and modification of rRNA in the nucleolus. There are two main classes of snoRNAs: the box C/D class, and the box H/ACA class. Lineage: Eukaryota; Metazoa; Chordata; Mammalia; Pilosa; Megalonychidae. The record is from RNAcentral.